This 803-nucleotide ribosomal RNA is filed under the name uncultured Bacillota bacterium. RNAcentral's name for it is "bacterial SSU rRNA". It matches the Rfam family "Bacterial small subunit ribosomal RNA", at positions 55 to 835 of the family's 1533-position model. The record is from RNAcentral. Lineage: Bacteria; Bacillati; Bacillota.
AUGCAGUCGCGCGAGAGAGGGUUCGCAAGGACCCCGGUAAAGCGGCGAAAGGGUGAGUACUACCUAGGUAACCUGCCCUGAAGACGGGGACAACGUCGGGAAACCGACGCUAAUACCCGAUAUGGUGAUCUGGUCGCAUGGCCGGAUCAGCAAAGGUAGCCUCUGUUUACAAGCUUCCACUUCAGGAGGGGCCUCGGGCCUAUCAGCUAGUUGGUGGGGUAACGGCCCACCAAGGCGGGGACGGGUAGCCGGUCUGAGAGGAUGGUCGGCCACACUGGGACUGAGAUACUGCCCAGACUCCUACGGGAGGCUGCAGUCGAGGAUCUUCCGCAAUGGGCGGAAGCCUGACGGAGCGACGCCGCGUGUGGGAGGAAGGCCUUCGGGUUGUAAACCACUGUUACCCGUUAAGAAACGGCGGACGUGAAUAGCGUCCGUCGUGACAAAGGCGGGGGAGAAAGCCACGGCUAACUUCGUGCCAGCAGCCGCGGUAAUACGAAGGUGGCAAGCGUUGUUCGGAAUCACUGGGCAUAAAGCGCACGUAGGCGGCCGGGUCAGUCGGAUGUGAAAUCCCUCAGCUCAACUGAGGAACUGCCUCCGAUACUGCCUGGCUUGAGGUCUGGAGGGGGGAACGGAAUUCCUGGUGGAGCGGUGAAAUGCGUAGAGAUCAGGAGGAACGCCGGCGGCGAAAGCGGUUCCCUGGACAGAUUCUGACGCUGAGGCGCGAAAGCUAGGGGAGCAAACGGGAUUAGAUACCCCGGUAGUCCUAGCCCUAAACGAUGGGUACUAGGUAGUGGGCUUACAUG